RNAcentral lists this transfer RNA (92 nucleotides) under Corynespora cassiicola Philippines. It matches the Rfam family "tRNA". From Rfam's summary of the family: Transfer RNA (tRNA) molecules are approximately 80 nucleotides in length. Their secondary structure includes four short double-helical elements and three loops (D, anti-codon, and T loops). Lineage: Eukaryota; Fungi; Ascomycota; Dothideomycetes; Pleosporales; Corynesporascaceae. The record is from Rfam by way of RNAcentral.
GGCUCGGUGGUGUAGUUGGUUAUCACGUCAGUCUAACACUUCACAACUGUUAGUUCCACUGAAGGUCCCGAGUUCAAACCUCGGCUGAGUCA